This 322-nucleotide ribosomal RNA is filed under the name fungal sp. CL091. RNAcentral describes it as "LSU rRNA". It matches the Rfam family "Eukaryotic large subunit ribosomal RNA", at positions 331 to 670 of the family's 3401-position model. The record is from RNAcentral. Lineage: Eukaryota; Fungi.
AGACCGAUAGCGAACAAGUAGAGUGAUCGAAAGAUGAAAAGUACUUUGGAAAGAGAGUCAAAAAGCACGUGAAAUUGUUGAAAGGGAAGCGCUUGCAGCCAGACUUGCCCGCAGUUGCUCACCUAGGCUUUGGCCUGGGGCACUCUUCUGCGGGCAGGCCAGCAUCAGUUUGGGCGGUCGGACAAAGGCCUCUGUCAAGUAUCUCCCUUCGGGGUGACCUUAUAGGGGAGGCGUAAUGCGACCAGCCCGGACUGAGGUCCGCGCAUCUGCUAGGAUGCUGGCGUAAUGGCUGUAAGCGGCCCGUCUUGAAACACGGACCAAG